This 450-nucleotide ribosomal RNA is filed under the name uncultured bacterium. RNAcentral describes it as "partial 16S ribosomal RNA". It matches the Rfam family "Bacterial small subunit ribosomal RNA", at positions 354 to 796 of the family's 1533-position model. The record is from RNAcentral.
GUGGGGAAUAUUGGACAAUGGGCGAAAGCCUGAUCCAGCCAUGCCGCGUGUGUGAAGAAGGUCUUCGGAUUGUAAAGCACUUUAAGUUGGGAGGAAGGGCAGUAAGUUAAUACCUUGCUGUUUUGACGUUACCGACAGAAUAAGCACCGGCUAACUUCGUGCCAGCAGCCGCGGUAAUACGAAGGGUGCAAGCGUUAAUCGGAAUUACUGGGCGUAAAGCGCGCGUAGGUGGUUUUGUAAGUUGGAGGUGAAAUCCCCGGGCUCAACCUGGGAACUGCCUCCAAAACUGCAUGACUAGAGUACGGUAGAGGGUAGUGGAAUUUCCUGUGUAGCGGUGAAAUGCGUAGAUAUAGGAAGGAACACCAGUGGCGAAGGCGACUACCUGGACUGAUACUGACGCUGAGGUGCGAAAGCGUGGGGAGCAAACAGGAUUAGAAACCCGUGUAGUCC